AUUGAACGCUGGCGGCAUGCUUUACACAUGCAAGUCGAACGGUAACAGGCCGCAAGGUGCUGACGAGUGGCGAACGGGUGAGUAAUGCAUCGGAACGUGCCCAGUCGUGGGGGAUAACUAUCCGAAAGGAUAGCUAAUACCGCAUACGAUCUGCGGAUGAAAGCGGGGGACCUUCGGGCCUCGCGCGAUUGGAGCGGCCGAUGUCAGAUUAGGUAGUUGGGGGGGUAAAGGCUCACCAAGCCAACGAUCUGUAGCUGGUCUGAGAGGACGACCAGCCACACUGGGACUGAGACACGGCCCAGACUCCUACGGGAGGCAGCAGUGGGGAAUUUUGGACAAUGGGCGCAAGCCUGAUCCAGCAAUGCCGCGUGCAGGAAGAAGGCCUUCGGGUUGUAAACUGCUUUUGUACGGAACGAAACGGCUCUGGUUAAUACCUGGGGCUAACGACGGUACCGUAAGAAUAAGCACCGGCUAACUACGUGCCAGCCGCCGCAGUAA
RNAcentral lists this ribosomal RNA (498 nucleotides) under uncultured bacterium. RNAcentral describes it as "partial 16S ribosomal RNA". It matches the Rfam family "Bacterial small subunit ribosomal RNA", at positions 30 to 523 of the family's 1533-position model. The record is from RNAcentral.